Molecule: long non-coding RNA, 29999 nt
Filed under: Cinara cedri
Lineage: Eukaryota; Metazoa; Arthropoda; Insecta; Hemiptera; Aphididae
Source: RNAcentral
CCGACGCGUCGACACCCGCAAUCAAAUGUCCGCGGUCGAAAUCGGUUAAAACCGCGAGUAUGUAUCGUAUAAUAAUAACAACGUAUCCUUUUUUUUUUUAUCCCCCCGAAAUGCACCGAAAUCGCGUAACGGUCGCGCCCGAAAACCGCACACGCAUACGGUUAGGUCUCCGUCUCAACAGGGUCGGUAGACAAAAAACCGCACACUCCAUUGUUCGACGGGCGGGUAGGACAGCCGAUUCGGUGCACUCUAGUUGCGUAGUAGUUUGCGUAAACGGCGUACACGAAUCGCGUCCCACCGGUCGGGCGGUAGAGUUUUAUUUCGUUUUAAGAGGUUCUCCGCGAUGCGUUCGUUACAAGGGAGUCCGACGUUGUUUUUCGGCGUAUUACACAUCGCGUGUCUAAUGUUAUAAAUCACGAUAACGGAUGAAUUCUGUUACCGAUGCCUGGUUAAUAAGCAACGAUAAGCAAGUUCGUAUCGUUAUUAUUACUGAUAUAUAUUUAUUUUUUUACCAGCAUUUCGAUCGAUACCGUUAUUGUUAUUAUUAAUAAUAUUUAUUAAAUUUACGAUAUUACGGACAAUAUUAAUUUUGAUUAGACUUAAGUGAUUUGACAUUUAUUUAUUUAUUUUUUUUUUUUUUUUUAUUACAUUUGAUAGACCGAUUUUUGAUUGACUCGUGUUUACAUUUAUAAUCGUUAGGUAUUUAUUUAUUUAUUAUUUAUUUUGAUUUAAGUUCCCCCGAUUAAAAUACACGAUUUGCGUCCCAAUAAUUAUGUAAACAUUUUUAAACCGAUAUUUUUAAUUCUUUAAAAAACGUCAGUUUUUUGAUUAAAAUCUCGAUCAUUAUUUUUUUCAUUUGACUUUAUAUUGAUUAUAUUUCAUAAUAAGUAUUUAACAACACUAAUUAAGAUGCAAUUACAAUACUUGAUAUUUUAUUUUAUAUAUUUUUAGAUUAAUUAUUAAUAAAUAAUCGAUUAUACAACAUUAUUGUGAAAUGUGCGAUUUUCGGAUAUAAAAAUUAAAAAAGUAUGCGGUUUCAACCUGCCGAAAACGUGCGGUUCGGUCCUGUGUUUUAUCGCGAGUGUGCGGUUUUCGGAUUCGUCGGUUUGUAACAACGGCCGCGGCACCAAUAUCCACGCCGGCUACGAAUAGCCGCCGAGUGGCGGUGCCGAGAAAACGUACCGUUGUUUUUUUUUUUAUCGUUUGCGGCGGAAACGCGUUCGCGUCACGGCGGCAGCGUGACGCUAAAAAAUUAUCGGCCCCCGGCGUGGUGACGAAUUGUUCGCCGGCCGUUUUAUUGUCGAAUAUGUUUUACCGAUCGACCCGCCGCCGCGCAGUCACCGCUGUACCGAGGCCCGAGGACCGCGUAUAUUCGCCGUGACGGCGGCUACUACGGCGGUGGCUGUGGCGGCAGCAGCAGCAGCACCAGCGGCCGCAGCAGCGACAACAACAAGUGCCGUGUAAUUCAAUUGCGCGCGGUGGUGACGAGUGAAUCGCUCAUGUGGUACACGGUGACGGCGGCGGCGGUGGCGGCGGCGGCGCGCCGCUGCUGGACGGGAGCGAGACGGUGUGAGAGACGUGUAAAACACAUACACUGUGAGCCCUCACAUACAUACAUAUAUAUAUAUAUAUAUAUACAUAUAGUGCCGUCCACCGAUGCUGCUGCUACCGCCGCCGCCGCCUCUGCCGCUGCCGCCGCCGCCGCCGCCGCCGCCGCCGCCGCCGUCGAGGGACCGACCACCUCUGUUAUUGAUUUCCCGGCCGGCGACGGAGGUUCGCGCGCGCUGUACGGCUAUAUCGGCUUGUCUCUCUCGCCGCCGACGCCGAUGGUAUUGCCGCUGCCGGCGGUGCCGUUGUUGAAUCGGCGCCCUAUACCGCCGUUCCCUCCAACGAUCGGCCGCCGCCGCUGCCCGCGACGACGACGGCGACGACGACUGCAGCCGUCCGUCCGAAUAACUCCGCGUGUCACUCGAUCGGUCACCACCGCCGCCGCCGCGAAAAACGUUCUCGCUCACGUCAAAUUUCCCGUUUGUCCGCGCCCCCGGGGGGGAUUUUUAACCGAUUUUGAAUUAUGCGCGUAAGGGAUGACGAACACGAAUCCGAUCACGUCCCGCCGCGACGCCGCUAAUUUACCAAUCUCCGCCUGUUCCGAUUUCCGUCGAUUCGUAUCGAUAGUGUGCAUGUUUUUUUUUUUUUUUUCAAAAACUUUUGAUAAACACAAUCUUCGAUCGCGGCGCCAUGCAAAUAAUCCAAACGUAUUAUCAUUCGAUAAAUGCCCAUCCGAACGGCGCGCGGCUGCAUAAAACACAAAUCGAAAUACCGCACUCCUUGUAUUGUGUACGCGCAUGAAUAAUAUAUAAUAAUACGUCCGAACGUGUUAACGUCACGGAAAAACCGAUCGGCUUGCACAAUGCGAAUUUCUUAUCACGGGCCCGCGAAAGUUUUUACUACAUUUGAUUUCGGGGUUGUUUUUUUUUUUUUAUUUUUUCAAUCGCUGUACUACUAUAGAAACGUUUCGCGAUAUCAUUUACAAUAACGCAAACGAAAUUAUACCCGUGUACCGUAUAUUAUUACAAACACGUCCUAUCGCGACGUUCGAUUUCCUGCAAAUAGCAUACAUCACGUUUUCGUGAAUUGGCGUUCGACAAGAUACGUAAAUGUUCUCGAAAAAUAUAAUACUUUAUGCAUUUUCUAUUAAAUCUUCAUGGAUGAUCGCUAGUUCUUUAUAGGUGAAAAAAAAAUCAUCCUUCGUAUUGGCCGAUUAGAUUGUCAAUAUCACGAAUAUUAUCGCCAAACUAAAGUCUUUGGAUACAAAACAAUAAGUAGUCAAAAAAUGAAAUUUAAGUUACAAGUUACUUUUUUUGAUAAUUAUUAAAUUGACUAGUUAAGAAAAAUAAUUGACAUAUAACAUUAAAAUUAAAAUCAUUUAAUCGUUUUUUUGUGUACCUUUGGUUUUUUGGGGUUUUUUUAAAUUUAUUUUUCAAUAAAAAUUACGUCUUUUUACGUGUAUAUUAUUGUCACAUAACAAGACAGGCAUAUGGCCUUUGCAGGAUUAUGAGACGCCCGUACGAAUCACGUACAGUAAGUCUAUAAGAAUCUAGUAACUAAUAUAAAUAUUAGAGUACAAAAUACGUUUGUAAAUGUAUAGUAAAAGGUAAUUUUAAAUAGUAACUUUUAACUUAACAGAGUUAUAAUUUUCAUAGAAAUGUGUAACAUAACUUAGUUUAUCAAACUCAUUUAAAUUUCAAAAUAUUUUUCCUAAUAUAACUCAACUUGAACUAGUUAAAACAUUUGAUUAACUUGUCCAACUUUGAUAGUAUCGUAUACCUACUUACCUUUAAAAAUUCUGAAGCGCCAACAACAUCAGACACGAACGAAAUAGUUCAAUAUCGUAUCGCAUCGCUUAAUAUCUCUAUUCUACAGAAUUAUCAUGGUUUAUACACUACCAGAGUGUUCGGUAUCGAAAUAUGUUUGAAUAUAAUAUUAUUCCGGAAUAGUUGUAACUGAACAUCUCAAUUAAGUGCACGACCACCGAAACACGUGUUAAAUUACCUGAAACGUAGGUUUAAAGUGUGAUGUGUGUUGUGUGAUACGCAAGUGUAAAAGAAAUAUAAUAAAAGGUUAGAUUUAUAUUGUAAUAAAUUAUAUUAUGCGUAUAUAUUGUAUACAGUUAAUAAUAAGACGCGUUUUGAGAUUUUAAAAUACAUUUGGUAGGUAAGAAAUAUAUAAAAAAAAAAAAAAUUGUCAUACUUCACACGUAGGUGCAGCCACUGUUGUAGGUGGGAGGUUGGGAAUGUAGGCUACAUACGGUAAUUUAAUGUACAUCUGUAAGCAUUGAUAAACCAUUGCUAAAGAAAAACGAUUCUGAGUGGAGUUCAGUUGAUAGUGUUGCUUUGUGAACAAAACAAUAUGGUAUAUGGUAUAUGUCAUAUUAUGGUAAAAUGAUUACAACAAAAUGCGUUUCCAUGACAAAAAUGAUUGUUUAAAAAAGAUUAAAAUAAUAAAAACUUAAUAAUAACGAAAAAUAAAUAAAAACGGUUGCCAAUGACAAGCUUAUUUUUAAUAUUUCAAAAUGUUUUCCUCAUUAUCUCAAAUAUUAAUGAGAUUUUUAAAAAAUUACCCCUUUAAAGCACCACCCAGAGAACAUUUCCUUUCAGAAAAGGUACUAUACUUGAAAAUCGGAGUAUGCUUUCUAGUGGAAAAAGUGUUCGCACAAAAAAAAACAAAUAAAUAAACAUCAUUUUAAAACCAAUACAAUCCUCGUUCCACUCAGAAUCUAAAUAUAUAUAUAUAGUAUAAAAAUCCUGAAUAGUAGAUAUAUAUACAUUCAAAACGCGCGGAGAUAUCGCCAGCUCCGAAAACAAAAUAAAUAUAGAGAAUAUAACCGUUUAAAGUGCUUCUAAGGGUUGUAGAUUGCCAAAGAAACCUAAAGGCUAAACGUAUCUACAUUAACUAACUGUAUAGCUGUAUAGAUCGGCAGAAAAGUUAAUUCGCAUGACGUACAGAAUUUAAGAGACGGACGGAACACCGUGCCAAAUAUAGAUACGAGUCGGAAGGAAAUGAUGAUGACGACUACGGCAACGUAAACCGACCGCGAAAAUAUAAACACCGAGGUACAGAAAACUACUAUAUAUCGGAAGUUUUGAUUAAAGUUUAAUUGGCCUGUUUUAGGUCUCGGUAUUAAUUUACAAAGAAAUUAAUGAUGAAUUAGUUAAUUAUAAUUAUUAAUUGAAUUGCGUGAUGGUUACAAUAUUGCAAAAGUCUAUUAUAAGUAUGAAAACUAUUCCCCAAAAGGGAAUCGCGCUAACUACCCACGUAUACAAGUCAACGCUUAUAACUGUGUAAAAACUGACAUUUUUAUUAUUUAAUACACGGACGAAAUUUUAUAAGAAGUUUUUCUUUAAUUAAUUUUAUUAUUAAUUACGUGUUGUACAUUUUAAAUUUCGGUUCUAAAAAUAAAACAUAAAACUAUGUACUUCAGAAUAUUUUACCAUACAGAUACUCGAACGACACAAGUAUUCUAUAAGGACUUGUCUAUAAUAAUGCAUUUUAAUUUUUUUUUCAAUUUUCAAGCGUACGCAUACUUCGCACCAAAUGAGUCCCUUUUUUUUAAAAAAAAAAAAUAAUAUUAUUUUACUGAAAUCUACGAUAAAUCAAAACAUUUGACAAUUUUAUAGCAUGUUUUUAUUUCUUCCUCUUUAGUUUCGUACAACGAAUUAAAUGAUGCACAUAAUUCCCUUUUUUUUUUCCACAAUUAUAUGUAAUAAUAUUUAAAAAUAUUAGAAAUAAAAAUAAAAGUUUCAAAGCAUAAAAUCUAUUAUUUUGUAAAAGUUUAUUCUUCUAGUAUACAUCGGAAUCUACUAAAACUCUAAUAAACUAUUAUUAUAUUGUUCAUAAAUCAUAAUAUACAUAUUAAAUAUGUAUACACAAAAUUAUAGUAUUUUCCUUGAGUUCACAAAAUAUCGAAACAAUCUGAACUAUUAUUUAGGCUUUUGGGUAACAAAUGACAUUUUUAAACAACAAUAAUUUAAAUUGAGAACAUUUCAAAACAAUGUAUGGAUAUAAAUAUGUGAACCUAUCAUCGAUGAAACGAUGCAGAACCAACGUAGGAGAUACAAUAAAAAAUUGUACGAUAUGAAAAACUUGCACCAGUAACAAGCUUUUUUGAUGUCCAACGGAUGCAAUGGCUAUCUAAAUGAGAAUGAUUCAACUAGAAUAGCAUUGAAAUAAGAUUCACAUGGAAGAAGAUCUAGAGGAAGAUAAAUUGGAGGUUGGAUGUAAUAGAAGAAAAUCUAAGAGCCCUAGAAGUUGAAGACUGGAGAAAGGUGACAUGCCAGAAGAAGAUGAAUUAAGACGUUUUCCGAAUUUAUAAGGUUAAACCGUAAUAAAAAUAUGUAUACUUAUUCGGAAAACUUUUUUUCAAACAAAAAUAUUUUAAAAUUCGUUAGAAAUUUAAAUUUAUUAAUACAGAUAAUCGACUAUGACUUUAAUAAUUUAACGAUAAUUUAUUAAUCUCGUUUAAAUAGUUAUAAUAAUAUGUUUAACGUGUUCUCGCGAAUACGUGUGCGCAAAAUGUUUUGUAAAAUAUUCAAUAUUAUGUCGAACGAAUUCUUUAAUAAUUAAUUUAGUGCGGUGUUAUAAGUUUAUGACGGUUAAAAGUUUGGUAGUAAUAUCACAUACUUAAUAUAUGUGACGGGAGAUUAUUCGACUCUCGCCCACGCGCGGCAACGUUUAAAAGAUCGCUGUGCACACCUAAUGUUAUAUAUUAUGUACUAAAGUGUAUUCCAUGGAGGAUUUCCUUCAAACGCAGCAGCUGAAAAGGUGAAGAGCAUAUUAUUAUUACUCCUCCGCGCGGCUAUAUAUUAUUAUAUUACACAUACCUACUUACUUACUGACUUCCAAAACGUCCUAAAUCAAUAUAACAUUAUACGUUAUCUAAUAAACUAGGUAGGUAUUUGUUCUAACAUAUUGAAUACAUAUAUCGCGUGGGUUUUUUUUGUUUUGUUCACUUUAAGUUGUAUUCGUUUAAAGAAAAAAAAAAAAAAAAAACGUAAAACAUAAUAGUCUCUGUAGACUACAAACUAGGUUGGUAAAAAAAUAAAAAUGGAAUUUUAACAUCUUUAUGAACGCAAAAGUUAUUAUAUUAGUGAAAAUAUAUUUAUUUUUUUUAAAUAAAUUCUCGUGGGAUUCAUCCUACCCCUACGUUAUAUAAAUUAUAAAGUGAAAAAUAUACCCGCUCAAUUAAAAUUAUAUUACUCCAAAUACUUUUAUAACUUUCCCGUUUUCAAAUAAUGAAAAUGCCCAUAACUUUUUAAUAUUAAUAUCGCAAUUUAUAACAAUCCGGACAUAAUAUACUUCACCUUUUGCAGAAUGAAAAUUAUGACACUUUCAUGACAAAAUUAAAUUUCAAGAAUUUCAUCGAUUAUAUUGUUUUAAAAAAAUAUAGUAAUCUUAAACAUUUGAACAGGAUAUUUAUUUACAGUGCCUAGAUAUAGGCUAUUUUUUAGAAUCUUCUGUCAAUUUUGGGUUCCAUAAAAUAAUCUGAAUUUUUAAACAAUUUAAACCGCUGUAAAUAAAUCUAAAAACCGUUGAUAACAAGACAUUUUUUUAUUUUUUUAGAUUCCUCUAUUUUCUAAUACAUAGAUAUAAAUUUAUUAAAUAAUAAUAAUCGUAAAUAGAACAUACAAUUGGCUUUCACGUCACAAGAAAAUAAUUAAAUAGAUUAUCAACUUUCCAACGAGCGAAUUGUUUAAUAUAAUAUUUAGAACGGAAUUAAACCCGAAACAAGGGUUAAGCAACUGUCGAAAUCUAUAAUUCACUUGAUUUAUGAUAGUUAUUUCGUCCAAUAAAAAUUAAAUUCAUCAAAUUUGUAUAAUUUUUGAAUUAAUAAAAUAAAAUAUGUAGGUACUUAUAUUGGGCGUUAAUUUACUACCUACAUAAUAUUCUUUAGGGAUCAAAAUAGCGGGGAAUUCCGGGUUUUUAUCAGGGUAAAUUUAAAACUUAGAUAAUUUAAAAAUUGUUGUUUUCUAAGAAAAUAAAAAUAUUUUCAAAAUAGUUAAAGUUUAAAAAAAAUAAUAACAAAACAAAUUUUCCAGAAUUUUUUCAAAAAAACCUGUUUAAACGCACGUUAAUAUAACAAAAAUAAACAUUUUAAAUACAUAAAACAGACUCAAAUAUAGUAUUACGCACAAACAACAAUGUUAAUAAGAAUAUAAUGCAAUAUUACUAUGCAAAAAAUAAAAAAAACACGUAAGAAAACGACGACGUACCUAUAACAAUAACAUGUAGAAACCGAGAUAAUAAUAAACUCCAUUGUAUGUGAAAAUAUGUAAUUUGUGUUUAAAUAACAUUAUACUAUAAGGAAACGGAAUGAAAACUAUUAUGGAUAUUAUUAUCAUGUUGAAUAAUGAAACCGCGUUUUUUCGACCCCAAAAUUGUAUAUACAAAAAUUAUCAACAUGUAAGUAAAUAAUAAUGAUUCAUAAUAAUAAGUUUUAUCAACCACUAUCAUAAUAAUACUAUUCUAUACUAAUAUUAUAAUAAUACUAUACAUACAGUGUGUUCGUGUUUUCUGAAAGCAUUAAAUAUUUAUUGUUUAAACCUUUACAAUGCGUGCGUGCCACAAUCUAACCUUACCUACAAAUCAUUUUGUUUGAAUAGCAAUCUCUAUUUAUGAUGCUGGAUCCAAAUGGUCCGAUUUUUUUCAAACAUCUAAUCAUUACAUUUAUUUUUAAUCGCAACAAUCUUUUGAGAUACAGCCAUCCGAUAAAGUUGGGCAAAAAAUAAAAUUAAAAUGUAUCGUUAUUAAUUGUUAUGUACGUGGCAUUUUACGGUUAUCUAUACAAACUUUUUUCCCAUAAAACAGAAGUCAAAUUUCAUCAAAUUUAAAAUCAAAAACUUUAAAAUUUUUGAAAAAUUAUACUUUUUAACCAAAUUUAAAUGGAUGUAUCUUCGGUAAUUUUUGAGAUAAAAAAAAAUUACAAAUUCUGUAAAAAAUAGAUUAAUUUGAAUUUUAAUAUCGAAAAUAGAUUCAAAAAAAACUGUUCAGAGGCUAUUAAAAAAAAAAAGGAAUUUGUAUUACGUAUACACUUAAAAACUCGGAUACUAUAAAUAAGUAUGACUAAGCAUAAAAGCCUACGAUAAAAUAUUUCAGAAUACGACAUUAUUUAAGGAAUGCCAUAUUAAUUUAAUAAAAUAUUACGACCGUUUUCAAUGAUUGUAAAAAAGGCCAUUUUCCAGUCUUGAAUAUCCAUCGUCUAAAUCAAGUUUAAUUUGAAAAUCAAUAUGUUAUUCCUGUAUUAUGUUUGAUUUUACAUAACGAGUUCAAGUUCUAAUAUUAGUUUUUAGGUUUUUCUGAUUUACGUGAAUAUGAUUUCGAACGAUUUUCCUCUUGAUUUUUACGAUUUCUUUUAAAUUGUAACUUAUAACACUUAUUAAAAAAAAACUUCUACAUUACGAUUAACUACCAACAAGAUCCAGGGCCGUUUAGAGGGGAUCAACGGGACCGUUUCAUAUCAGAACCUAUUUUUGAAAUAAUUUUAGGGGCCUCUCUAAAAGUCUUGAUGUAUAAGAUAAUAAUACAUGUGCUAGGAUUUAGAAUUACUCGAUGUUACCCAUAAAAAUAAAUAAAACUAAACUAUAAAACUAUAAAACCAAAUUGCAAAAAUUAAAAAAUAUUAUCGAUAUUCCUACUAAAAACAAUCAUUAACAACCUAAUCUAACUGAAUAAUACUAAUUCUACCGUACACCACAUUCGCAUGACCGAAAAAUCCAACAAUCCGUUGGAAAGAUAAUCCCUAUAUAAGAUUAUAUAAUAAAACGAUAAUCCCGAUAUUCUCGUUUUACACGGGCAAUAUAAUCGUCGCCGAAAACCCAAAGUCCUAGACUAACACCGACCGCCGAUCGUUCGUCGGGUUUGAAAAGCGAACCUCGGACGGGGGUGGUAUAUAGUUAUCGUAUAAUAUUAUAUGGAGUGGUGUUACGUGAUGACGGUGUUUAUGAACGGAAGUGGUGGAAGGGAUGGGCGCGGUAUUAUGGCGGGACAGGAACGGCCGGGACAAAAUCGCGGUAGUUUUCAAGAGACGAGUCGCGGCGGGGUCACGAUGAGAACGGGGGUGGGGGAGGAGUAACGUAGCAGGAGAGGUGCGGCGUAGAGGACCGUUCACUCAAAAUUAGUUCCGUUCGGUCCCUUUAGCAAACAACAUAGAGACCUUUACCGAUAUAUACGCGGUAUAAUAUAAAGAUAGAACGAGAGAGAGAGAGAGAGAGAGAGAGACAGCGAGAGUGAGAGAGAGAGCGUGUGAGAAAGUGAGAGAGAGAAAGAGAGGGCGCGUCACUAACCGAGAAAUAGAGCCCUCUAUUCGACUAAAAACCAUCAUCUCGCCUCGGAUAGUGUAUACGCGCGCGGGCGUGUGUGUAUAUAUUUACGUACGUAUACAUGUAUAUAUACAGUACGAAUUUCGCUUGUGAAAUACGACCAAAGCACAUAUACACACACCAACCCUUGCACACCCUAUAUGUAUAUAUAUUCGUGGAACGUAUACAUACACCCACACACACACACAUACGGUCACACGCACGUAAAUGUAAACACAUACACACUAUAUUAUAUGUAUAUAUAUAUAGCGCUACUCUAUGUGCAUACAUAUGUGUGCGUGCGUGUGCGUGUGAGUGUGUGUGUGUGUGUGUGUGUGUGUGUGUGUGUGUGUGUGUGUGUGUGUUUGACUUGUAAACCUCAUCCCGGACGAUGACGUCUAUGUCGACGCGCCCGUUUGAGGAUCAAUACCGCCGCCGAUACGUGCGAUGAGCUCGUUUUAAGCGGCCGUUCCAAUCCAUAUUCGCGCGUAUAAUAAUAUGAUAAUAAAAAUCAUAAUAAUUAGGGCUCGGACUUAAUCGCGUGAAAGAGUGACUAAAACUGAUUGCGUUCUGUCUUUGAUCCCUGGGAUUGCAUGUCAUUUACAUAGAGAUAAAAACGGAGAAAAGUAAGGGAAAAAAUUGCCGAAUAUUGACUUUGUUCCCCAUUUUCUCUGGGGCCAUAGAUAAAUAUUCCUCUGAAAAUACCUUACGUAAUUCAAUCUAAGAUGUGUAGAAAAAAAAAUGUUCAAAAUCUGAGUAUGGUAUUCAGAUAGACAACUGUGUUUGAUAAAACAAAAAAAAUAAAUAAAAAUUCAACUAAAUUUCGAUGUUGCGUGGAACCAAGAGCACUUUGUUUCUUUUAUUUUCAAAAUACAUACCUAAGUAAUCUUCUGUUCUCUUACUAAAAAAAAUAUCGAAAAAUUGCUUUAAAGUUAUUUAGCGUUAUUAAUAAAAUCAAUUAAAAAUUAAUUAAUUAUAAAAAAUCUAUUAUAAUAUGUUACAUAAUACCGUCCCUGUGUAAUAAAUUCCGUUUCCUAACAACGAGAAAAAAAAAAUAAUAGUUUCUGAAUCAAUAAACGUCGAUCCUCGACAGUGUAUUACGCGAUCAUUCGAAACACGAAUGUUCACGAAGCGUGUGUAUUCCGGAUUAAUAUAUUACGCAAUAUCAUGGAGAGGACGCGGUAUAGUUUUUACAACGAAAUCGCGUAUGUCUGCUCUAAUAAUACGUGCGUGCGGAAAAAAACAAAAAAUAAAAAAAAAAAAUGUUGUAACACGUUAUUUCUGACCGAGCUACAGCAGCCGAUGACUAUGACGAAAAAUACAUUCCGCCCUCCCUCCUUCUCGCCCCCCCCUCUCAUUCGCCCGGUGCGUGCCGACACCGGUUCUUAAUCCGAAACACCGGUAUGUAUGUGUGUGAUUUGUGCGCGUACGUAUACAUACGUGUAUUAUUAUUAUUUUUUUUCCACUCUUUCGUCUCUCGCAUUAUAAAACACACAUAUAUAUAUGUGUGUGUGUGUGUGUGUGUGUGUGUAUAAAUAUAAUAACCCUUCAAAUCAUUACGUAUGCAAACGCGUAUGUAAUCUCGGCAGGGUUGGCCGGACACAUUCGUUAUGAAUUAUCCGCAGAGACCUUUAAUCCGGAUGCGCGCAGGCAUCGCCGCCGUCGUUUUACAUUGAAAGCGCAAUGGUUUCGAUCUACUGCGUAUAUAUAUAUAUAUAUGUUUAUACACACACACACACACACACACACACACUACACCUACCCUUUGCCCCGCCGACAGCCUCUGAUGAACAAUAGCUUUUGUUUUGUGUGAACGCCACCAAGCUCCCCUCCCCCCCCCCCACUUCCCCCUUCAUCGUUCCACCGCGCCGCCGUUCCGUGGAGCACUAUACGUAUAUUAUUAUUAUUAUUAUUAUUAUUAUUAUUAUUAUUAUUAUUAUUAUUAUAUGAUAAGAAGUAUACAGUACAGCGUAUACACCUACUACACGCUAUACAUACGACCCCGCUGCAACGAAGACUGCAGCAUCCGACAUGGGCGAAUUAUAUAAAUUUAUAUGCCUACUUUUUUCUUUUUUUUUUUUUUUUACAGUUUUUUUCCUCCCGCGUCUCCUACUCGGAGAAAUGUCCAUCGAUUUAAAUAAUUCGAACAAUGGAUCGUGCGCGUACAACACACACUCCGUACGUUUAUAUUGUUAUUACGUAACAUAAAAAUGUAUAUUAACAGUUUAAUCGAUUAUAUGCCAGUGUUAUGAUACUGAGAAUUUGUACUGACACAUUACGAUUCGCUUUUAUUAUUUCUUCAAUCCCGAGGAAGAAAUCAAUUUUCUUUAAUUUUUUUUUUUUUUUAUAAUUAUAUGACUCAAGGCAUUUACAACGGUUAUUUAACAAUUUUAGCAGUUCUGCCGUUGUGCCGUUUACCAAUUUUCAACAUUUAAUUUAUUUUGUUUAUUUUAUUUUUAAAAUUGACUUAUGCCUUUUUUCCUCGAGACCAACGAUUUAGAUUCACGGUAUUUUCUCGCGCGUUCUAUUGCGUUAUUGCAGUUAUUAUUUUUAUUUUUUUGUUUUGUUAUGUUUUUGGUUAUAUUAACAUUUAAAAACGUACCUACGUGCAAAAAUAAUGGUAUUUUUACAAUAAAAAAAAUAUAUAUGUAUAGCUACGUCAUUUAUAACCGUAAAAUAACAUUAAAAAAAGUAUCGUAAAUAAAAAAAAUGUAGGUAUAGGUAAGGUGUUGUCAAACAUAAUAUACAAAUUGUUUUUAGGUACGCCAUAUUGACAAAAAAAAAAAAGAAAAAAAAACUGUACAAUUGGUAUCCCGAGUAUGUUUUAUUUAGUCGGACGUUUUGACCGUAAUGGUUCGACGGUCAUCUUCGCGUGGUCGUGUUCACUACGACGCCAGACGAAUCAGUCAAAGUAGUCAAAAUGUCAGACUGGAUAUAUAUUUACGAGUCAUGUGCCGUGAGCCGUCCAAUAAUAAAUCAAAUAUUCCUCGAGAAAACUCAAAAACAAUAACACUUUGAUAAAACAAUAUUCCGUAUUUCGUUUUAAACAUUAAGAUAUUUUGAUUUCGAAUCGACGAAAACAUACAGAUUUAUGUAUAGGUAAAAAAAAAAAAAAAUGUAUGGUUUUACUCGAUGUAUUUCAUUUAUAAAUUUAUGGAAAUCCUAGGUUUUAUUUUAUUUUUUUUUAUUUUUUUUUUUUUUUUUUUUUUUUUUUUUUUUUUUGUAAAAUUCUUCAAAGAAUAUGAAGGUUUUCAACAACAGCAUACACAAACGACUGGGUAAAGUACCGCAACGAUUGAAAAAAGUGUAUAAAAUUCAAUAAAGCGUCCUCUUUAGAACUGCAGUAGCAGCAGUAGUAGCGGUACACGAGAAUGGAGGUAAAAUAUCGUUUUAACAUAAUUUUAUUAUGGUAAUAAAAAACUGUUGGUUUUUGUAUACAACUAUGUUAUCGCAAUUUCUGAAUAAAAAUACCGGACAAAUACAUUUUAAAGAGUUUAUGGCCUUACGCUCGCGCACGUUAUAAUACGAAAUAAAAUAAAAUAAUAUAAUAUAGCACUUAGGUUCUGCAAAAAAAUUCAUUAAAUUUUACUCGUGGCAAAAAAAAUUAAAAAAAAAAAAAAAAAAACUUAAAUAUUUAUAAGAACGACCCGUAGUUGGUGCGUACGCAUAUAUUUUUUCUUUUUCGAAUCUCCCCGUGAAUAUUAAUUAUUAACAAUUUGUUGAUACAUUAUUUAAAAAAAAAUAAUAAUAAAAUCUACAUUCUAUACUAGCAGCCAUAUAUGUAUACAUGUAUAACAAAAUAAUAUUAUAAGAAAAAAAUACGAACAUACUUCGCACGUGGGCGCACCAAUGUUUUAGAUGAAAAGUUGGGAAGGUAGUAGAGUCGAAAUCUAAUGUAUGUCUGUACGCAACGAUUAACCAUUGCUAACGAAAAUACAAUUCUGAGAGGAGUUCGAUUGAUAGUAUUACUUUGUCAACAACAUACAUGUCAUAUAACGGGAAAAUAAUCACGUCAUAUGCAUUAUAUAAUUUCUUCAAUAAUAUUUGUUCGAUAUUGUACCUAUUUUCCCAUUUUUCCUACGUUUUUUUCCCCGUGUUUUUUACCGGAUUUUCCCAUUUUAUUGGUAAAAGAAAUAUAAAUAUUAAUUUCGUUAAUAUUGUACAAUAUAAUACAAAUAAUAAUAAUAAUAAUACUGGUAGACAUUAUAAUAUAGAUGAUUAGAAGUUAUACAAUUAUAUUAUAUUAUAGACCUACCGUCAUAGAACUUUCAUCAUUCAAUAAACUAUCAUGUUAUAACGGUGAAACAAAGACGAUAAUAUUAUGGCACGCAUAUAAUAUUAUUUUAAAAGAAAUUAUUGAUUUCAUAUCAAAAAAAAUCGGGCAUUAUGGGCACCCUGUAUAUAUAUUUCCGAUCCAUAAUAGAUUUAAAUCGUCCAAAAAGGUUUAUGCGUGCGAAACUAAUAUAUUGCAAUGCGAAGAUGACUUUCUGUCAAUUAUAAUAUAAUCAUUAUAUUAUUAUGCAUUUGUGUAUGUAUUUAUUAAGAAGAAAAUACAUUUUUCAUUUUCCGCGCCGACUAUUGUCUCCGCGCGGAUAUACGUAUAUAGCGGCAACGUGAGUGGACUGCUAUUAAUAUUGUCUUUCAACUGUCAGUGUAGUAGGCCGCGGUACGAGUCUCUGUAGAUAAAAUGAUUCCGUUUGUUGUACGUAGGAUAAAAGAGAUGAAGGACGCCGGUGACGAGCGGUUGGAGAGGGACAAAUCAAUAUCAUCACUGUGUACGCGAACCCGGGUAUUGUAUAACAAUAAUUUUUCGAGAUUAGACCGAAAAAUAUGUGUCUCGAAGGCUCUCGGCCACAAUAAAUGUAUAUAAUUAGAUAGAUAUUAUAUUGACGAAUGUUUUUCAGGGGAAAGGUGGAGCGGGGAGAGAGUGGGUGAAGGCGCGGGAAAAAAUUGCUCUACUUUCAUUUUUCACGGACGAUUGACCAUCAAUCAAUUCCCGUGGCUCGGUUAUCAAUCAACGUUGGGUCAGCCACUACUACCCACCCUGUAUAUCCGCCAUCGUCCGGCCUACCGGGAAUUUCGAUUUAAUUUAUUUCGGACGGGUGUCCGAUAUAAACGAGCCAGCUUGCAAGUUCUACGCCGCCGUACGCGUGAGUAGAAGGGGUAGCGGCGGGUAGUUCUCGGGCAUAAUUAGGAAAAUGGAAGUUCCUGCAAAUAUACACUAACUGAAAUCAAGUACUUUUGAAAAAUUGACUUUUAUUCGAUUGGUCAGCAGAGACCAUCGAUGAGCAAUACAGCUAAACUGUUUUUAAUGGCUCACCGCCGCCGGCUUGGCACGGUCCGUACACGUGACAGUUUGACGCGUUCGAAGAUUACAAAGUGAUAAACUCUCGCUUGGAUUUUAAUAUUAUCAUCGGGCACGCAAACUUGUUCGAGAAAUUAUAUUAUAAUAAUAAAUCCGGCAACAUUGAAUUGAGACAAGAAUACACAAACAAAUGUUUAUGGGUUGAGUUCGGCCUAUAAGCGCUGUAAAGAGACACUUCCCCAAUAAAUGUAUGAAUUCCUGCGAUUGAUUAUUUCAUUUUUAAUAAUUUUUAGAAAAUUUGUCAAUUUUUAUUGAAUUGUGGACUGACGUUUAAAUUAUACAGAUUUUAAAAAUCCAACUUUAUAAAUGUGUUUAUAAUAUUAUUUUUACUACAAAAUUUGUUUCAAUAAAAGCUUUUUCCACUGAUAUUUAUUAAUUUAUUUUUUGUAUUCUUGUUUCCUUAUCAUUGCUACGUAAUUUUAUAGGUAUAUCUUUCUAUUUUCCUAAUAGUAAAAUAUCAACAACAAUUGACUAUUUCUAUUGACAAAUUCUAUGUAAUUCACUUUAAGUGAAAACUUUCACGGCUAUUAUAGUAUUGGUCACCAAUCAACAUACUUAAUAAACGUUCAGAAAUAUCUUAUCUCCUGAAUCGAUUCAAACAUUAACAUUAUAUAAAAAGUACACCAACCUGAACGCUUAAAGUUAGUCUGAGAGACUCAGUUCAGUAUCGGCCAAGAAAUCACGAUUCCCACUUUUUCAUAUUCAUAUAAUAAUAUAUUUGUUUGAAGUUCGUAUAUAAGUUUCGUUACAUUAUAAAUUAUAAUUUCGAUCAAAUUAAUUGACUAUAUUACACGCGAAUAAUCCGCUUAGAGCCAUACUGUUAUAAUGAUAUCGUAUGUCCUAGAAACACAUUUAUUAUGUAUACGGUCUAAAACACAAUAAUAAUUUAAGUAAAACAUUUUACCGCAACUUGCUGCAUUAUUGAUCAUUACGGUUGACCGCAUGCAGCCAGAUGGCACAUACAGUACAAUAAUGCUCGUUCUACUUGUUUAUAAGAUAUUAUAUGAUAUAACUAUCACAUAUAUUUUAGUUUCGUGUUCACCACGACAUAAUGUUUAAGUAGUACAAAAACUAAAAUAUAACAUCAUAUCAAUGAAACACUGUUACGAGUAAAAUAUAAUUCGGACGUUUUUAAUUCCCAUCAAGAUUCGUAUAAAAAUACUAUUGAUUUGAUUUCAGAAAUAUUGCAAUACAAUGUUUUUUAGAUUUUCAAGUAUAGCACCUUUUCUAAAAAAAAAAAAAAUCGUGGUAUUUUUUAGAGGUAAUUUUUUUUCUUGUAGUUUUCAUAAUACAAUUGUGUAUAACCGGGUUAAAAAUCUGUAUAAAAUAGUUGAGAUCCAUACAUAUAUGUUAUUUAAUUUCAAUAUAUACAUAACAUUUAUAAAAAAUGUUUAAUCUAAAUCGAAUUAUGAUGAUAAUAUAUACAUGGUAUACAUAUUAAAUGAAAAUAAUAUGGAAAAGAGUAAUACAAACGUAGUGCAUAUUUUUUUAAUAUAUUUUAAAACAAAAAAAUAACUAAAAUCGAGUGGAUGCGCUUGAAAAAUGAUUUGCAAAACGAAAUACAAUAAUAAUUCGAUUACAUUUUAACCUUUUAAACUAAUUGCAAAAGGAUAAGUUUGAUCUUUUCAAUUACGCGUAUUUACAAGUACAUGCAAAAUUCAACAGUAUCCAUCAUGUGUUUAAUAACAACGUGGUAAAAGUUCGAAUAUAAAUUAUACAUCACAACCAUGACAAAAGAUUUUUUUGUUAUUAUUAUUAUUUUUUUACUAUUUGAAUUUAAAUAUAUCCUGCACACAUCAUUUUAUAUAUAACUGAACCGUACAUUUUAUGUCAGAUUAGCCUUAUCCGUUCCAUAUUGUAAUAAAUAUUAUUUUAUUCCCCGAGACGAAUUCUAUUUGCAGGUAUUAUUUUUCAUGGUUUAUUUUUUGAAUUAAUUGAAAAUAUUGUCUAUAGUAUGUUUACAACAUAAAACUAUAAAAAAAAAAAAAAAAAAACUGAUAAAAGGGGAGAACAAUAUUAGAAAGCAUUAAUCUUAAGUCCCACAUCUAUACUCUAUAUCUCAUAGUGUGUGUGUGUUUAUGUAUAUGAAAAGAAAAAACAACAAAGAUAACGGCAAAGUUAAAAAAUAUAUAAUAUUAAUUUAAAUUAAUUGGCAGUUUUAACAAUGUUAGUUCGAAGCAACUAAAGGCGGGAGACAUACAGUCUAUAAAUAUUAUAGUUUGUCCAUAACUUACAGUAAAUACCAACAAAAAAUAAUAAUUUCCAAACUCAAUAUAUUACCUAUUUAUAAAUUAUUAAUCAUUUUUUUUUCCGUUGCUUUUUUUUCCUAAACUCAUACAAACAGCUCAAAAAUGACAUAAAUGUUUUAAAAAAUUUAAAACAUCUAAAAAGUCAAAUAUAAAUUUUAUGUUCAAAUUUCAAGUUUUCACGAAUAUUUUUUACUUAAUUAUAACAAUAAAACAAAAUUAAAUAUAGUAAAAGAUAUAUUUUUGUAGAAUUUCCCAUUCAUUAUUCGUUUUUUUUUUUUUCGGUUUUGCUUAAUUAUUAAAAAAAACUUUCUUGGCCUCCAAGAUUAAAAAUGCAACAAAAAAAGUAUCUCGUUGUCUUUCUAUUGGAGCAAAAUUUCUAGUAAAAAAUAUAAAGCGUACAAAUUUUAAACAAUAAAAUUGUACGCUGUAAAUUGGUUCGUCUUUCAUUUUUCAUCUUUUUCCGGUUUCCUAAUUAUUAUGAAAACUGAUCGAAAAAUCAAAUACAACUUUCUCCGUAAGUAUCUAGAUCUAAAAUUCAACAAAAAAAAGUCUCUUGGUAUUUUUUUACGAAAACAAUAUUUCUGGUAGAAUAUAUAGUUUACAAAAAUUAAAAACAAUAAAAUCGUCGGUAACGCUACGGCGCGGUGGAAUGAUCCUAGCUACACAUAACCCCAAAUGGAAGAAGAAGAAAAUGAAUUUAAAAAUAAUAAUAGUAAGUCAAGGUCUUUUAACAAAUGAAGACAAUAAAAUAUAAUGGGUACUUAAUGAAACACCCGACAAUUAAGUCACAAUUUUUUUCCUCACAAUAAACUCACCGUACAAAAAAAAAAAAAAAAAGUUUAAUUUUUUCUACGGCAAUAAGGUUCGCGAUACCUGAACAUAAAACAAAAAACCGGUGAGAAAAACGUCAAGUAUAGAAGAGUAACAGUUAGAGGAGUUACUUUCCGUGAGCGAACCUACGUUUAAAAACAAUAUCACACGGCAACGUGUAUAGGCAAUAUCGCUACACGUACGCGUACAACGUAAAGUUUGAAAUAGUUCUCGAAGAAGAGAUAUUAUAAUCCGUCGGAUUAUAAUAUUAAUUAUCUUUACUAGAGAUAGUAUGUUGAUAACCCUUGCAUUCUGUACAACGUUGUCUUAGUUAAAAGUUUUGCUUGUUGUCAGUUUAAUGUUUGUGUUUAAAAUAUCAAUAACGUACACAUGCGAUUUAUUUGUCAAAACGUACUUUAAACAACUCUAAAACCACUAAAAUCUCUAAUACUCAAUAAUAAAAGUGUUUUCAACUAAAUGACUAAUGUAAAAUGUUAUUAUCAUUAUAAAUGUGUAAACCAUGUUUUUUUUUAAUUUUUUUUUUUUUUUCAUCAUUUAAUUAUUAUCUAUAUUCAAUUACACGGCUAGAGUUCGCGACUUUCCUUACGUCGUCUACUAAACACUUUCUAUUCCAUUGCAAAAAUAUUGUUUGUACGCAGUCGGUUCGUUUACUAUCAUAAUGUAAUACGUACUAUUAUAAAUCAUUCGGUCUGUACAAAUACAGUAAAUGCACGCAGUGAAAGUAAUAUAUAUAUAUAUACAUGUAUAAUAUUGUAUCAUACACGGUUUAUGGAGUAUUAUUUUCUUUUAAUGAACCUACAAAUGUCGCGCGACCAAUAAAAACUUGUAUAGGACCUUUUAGUUUUUUUUUUUUUUUUCAAAUGAAUUGCCGCCUUUCCCGUUCACAAAUUCAGGCCAUCAAUAUACAACGGUAUACUAUGUAAUAAUUGCGCUCAUAAAUGUUUCUACAUUUAUUUCUAUAACAUUAUUUAUUUUAUUCAUGACGCUGAACAAUAAAAAAAAAUAAUCAUUAAUAUUCUAUUUUACUAGAAAUGUCAUGUAGAUUUAUUUUUUUUUUUUUUUUUUUUAUCAUUUAUGCACUCUCGUGCACAAAGUUUAAAAAAUAUGGACAUAAUUCGCACAAUGUGUGGGCCACUGUUGUANACCUACAAAUGUCGCGCGACCAAUAAAAACUUGUAUAGGACCUUUUAGUUUUUUUUUUUUUUUUUUUUUUAUCAUUUAUGCACUCUCGUGCACAAAGUUUAAAAAAUAUGGACAUAAUUCGCACAAUGUGUGGGCCACUGUUGUAGGUGAGAAGUUUGGAAGGUAAGAUAUAGAGGGGAAUUUAAUAUACGUAUAUCUGUAUAUAACGAUUAAUCAUUGCUAAUAGAAAUAAUUCUGAGUGGCGAUUUUAAAACACGAUUACAUGUUUUAAAAGGCCUUAAAGUUUAUAAUUUUCGUGAAAAUUUAAUAUUAAAAUUCUCAUACAAAUAACAAUACUAAAUUAAACUCAACUUUUUCUAUUGACCACAAAGCAUAAUUUAUAAUGAUCCUGUUAAUUUUCCAAGCAUUUUUGUUUGGUCUAACACUUUUAUCCACAGAUUACCAAUAAAAAUUACCUAAAAACCUUGCAUAAUUAAAACGUCUAUAAAAAGCUCAAAAAUAAAUGAAGUGUUCUAAAAAUAGUCUUAAAAGACCAAUAUAAGUUUUUUGUUUAAAUUUUAAGUCUCUAUGAAUAUUUUUAACUAAAUUACAAUAAAAAAACAAAGUUGAAGAUAAUCAAAUAAAACAUUAUUUUUAUUGAUUUUUCCGUUUUUCCUACGUUUAGUCUAAUUAUUAAGAAAAUAUGUUAGGAAAAUCUAACUAAGGAAAAAAAUUUCUUCACAGAAAUGGUGCUACAUUUGAAAAUCGGAGCAAGAUUUCUGAUUGAAAUUUAGUACACAGUAUUUAAAAAAAAAGUUAUAAAAAAUUAACAUUGGAAAACAAUACAUUCCUCACUAUGCUUAGAAUCUAAAAUUACAGAUUAUUUAAGAGUUUAUUUGUGUAAUACGGUAUAGCAAAUCAGAACUAUUUUUACGAAAUCGUCUAUACCUCUUUACGAACUGACCUUGCAAUGUUGGGUUUUUAAUGUUUUAUACAUUUCGGUUACACUUUUGAAUUUCGAACAUUUUAACUUAAAGCCAUUUCUAAGAUUUAUCAGUUUUAAAAGUAAUCUCCUUAAAAAAAAAACUAAACAAAAGUCCUUUAGAAAAACGGGGCUAACGAAAGUAGAAGCACCAAGAGAUAGAAUCUCAUUCUCUUUUUCUUUUUUUUUUUUUUUUUAUAUAUAUAUAUUUAUAUAAAUUGGUAAAGUAUUUUUAAAAAAUGAUGGAGAAGGGGAAAUAAAAGUAAACACAACCAUUAGAGGAAAGAAUGUUUUUUUUUUUUAUACUAAAGAAAAAAGUUAAAAUUAAAAAUAAUUUUUUUUCCAUAAACAAUAAAAUAAUUUAUUCGCAUUAACAAUAUAUGUUAUAAACGUGGAAAUUUAACUUUUAAUGUUUUUAAUUUGUUUCGUGUUUAUUUAAAUUGAUUAGUGAGCUUUCAAUAAGCAGUUCAAUAGUAUUACACAAAUAUUUUAAGCAGUGACAUUAUAUAAAAAAUUAUCAAUACGCUAAAUAAACAAGGUUAUGUUAAGUUAAUGGAAUAAAAUAUAGUAUGCCUAAAAAAUGUUUACAAAAUAAAAUCAAAGGAGAUAAUACUAUUGAUAAAUCAUUACAAAACAAAUAUGAUUCUAAGUGAAAGUCGGUUAACCAUUUAUUGAUAAAUUUUAAUCAAAAGCUUUUAUGCUCCUUUCUUUUUCUUUUACCCAUAAUAUGAGCUUAUAACGGAUCAUAAAAUACCACUCUCACUAAUAUUAAAAAAGAAACACACCGAUUAUAAAUAUUGACAAAUACCUAAUUAGGUAAUGAAUUACAAUAAAUAACUAAAAAACUAACGAAUAUAUGUAAGUUAAAGUAAAUAAGUUGUCUCAGAUACUAUUUACGUCUGAAAAAUAUUAACUUAUAAGUAUCAAAUAUACUUAGAAAUAUCAAUUUACAACAAUGAUUUUCUUACUUGCUGAUUCACAAUAAUAUUGAUUUUUACGAAAACUGGCAGCGUCGUAGCAUAAAUAAUACAAUUAUUUUCAAAAGUACUUGGAAUUUUCAAAAAAUGUCUUAAGACAACAACUAUAUAGAUUCAAAACAUGUCAUGGAUGGUUUAAAGAAAAUUAGUGGCUGAGCGAUGUCAAAGCGAUAGAAGUUGCUAAUUUCUGGAGAAAUGUCUUGAAAAGAACAUUCUAAUAACAAUAAGUCUGGAGCAAUUAUUAUUCUGGUCGAAAUGGAAAAUGUUGGCGAUGGAUAAAGAUAACUGGAAGAAUGGUUGUGAAUCAAAUCGAUGGUUUCUAAAUGCAGAAUAAUCCUGAGUAACAAUAAUAUACAUAGAGUAUAACAUUAGUAUAAGUAUUUUAUACCUGCAUAAAGUAUGUGUAUAAUAAAUAAAUAUAGCUAAUAAAGUAUUCAUAUUAUCAAUGUUGUUGUUGUUGUUUUUUUUUUUUUUUUUUAUCUAUUAUCGUAUUUAUAAUUAAUAAGUUAUAAUAUUCGUCUGUCCAAAUGAAUAUAUUCUUCUAUAUUACACGAAUUGUUCGAAAUUAACAAAAAUACUAAAAGCGCUAGUUGCGGUAAUGGAAAAUAUUUUUUUAAAUUUGAAUUUAUAUCAUAAAAUGUAACAACACUGAAUAUUAUUUUUAGGCGACUACCUGAUUGCGGCGUAUAUAACUGUUACAGUAUAUAUAUUUAGGCGUGUGUAGGGGGGGGGUUGGAGAUUAACCCCUUAAACCAAAAUUCAAAAUUCAAAAAAAAAAAAAAAAAAUGCUAAUUUCAGUGGAUCACAAUACACUAGUUCUAUAGUGAAAAUUUGUAAUUUUUUUCCCAAACUGUUCACGACUGCAGCAUUGUAUGACAUACUGGUAAACACCUGGCUAUAGUACGAACAUUUUCGUAUAGGUAGGUAUGCGUGUGUGUGUAUAUUUAUUAUUAUUAUUAUAACUACACGAUGUUCACAUUAAAUUUAAAAGCAUUAUUCACGUUAUUAUAAACCGUAUACAUAUACAUAUACAUAUAUAUAUAUAUAUAUAUAUAAUAAUUUACGUUCGUACAUUCGUUUACCCCGGUGUACGUUAUUAUCAUUAUGUAUUUGGUUCCAUAUAUGGUGUAUAACUACGCAUGUAUAAUCGAACCAAUGAAAUCAUAAAUGACGUAGGUAUAUAGACUAUGUGUAUAAUAUAACACGGGUACGUACGCGUAUACGCGCGUGUGUGCGUGUGUGUGCGUGUGUGCGUGUGUGUGUGUGUGCGUGUGUGUGUGUGCGCGUGUGUGUGUGCGUGUGCGUGUGUGUAUGUGUGUUAUUAUUCAUAGUAAAACAUCAAGUGGAUCCAUUAAAUCAUGUCAACGGGAGAACGUAAAUUGUUAUUACCGUGACAUGCGUAUACAACACACGCGCUCGCGUAUCGUAUAUUGAACACGAGUGAGUAGGGAUCGGGCGACAUUUUAUAUACAUAAUAUUAUUAUUAUUAUUAUUAUUAUUAUUAUUAUUAUAUAUUAUGACGUAUAUAGCAUUAAUAAUCGUUUAUUAUAUUCUCUAAAGUAAAUUAUUAUAUUAAUAUUCAAAGCUGGGGACGGUAAUUGCAUAGGUAGUAAAAACGUUGAGUUGUAAAUUGUUGCUAUUUUUUCGUUACUUUUUGACGUGACUAAUAAAAUUUGAAAAACAAAUAAAAUUUUACGCACAAACAGCUUUAACUUAAUGUUAUUAUUGCCACAAGGUUUAAAACCCGUUACCGACUGAAAUAAAAAAAUAUCCAGCGUUCUGUUACGGAACUUGUUAAAACUGUUUGCCGGUUAAUGUAAGAAUGUGUACGCGAACAAAACCGAACCGAAUUUCAACCGUACAUACAUUUCAAACGUAUACUAUUAUUAAUAGUAAUUAAGCGUUUGAAAAGUUUGCCGAUCGCGAAUCGGUCCCGAGGAACAAUAUUGUAAAUAAAUAACAAUCGCGGACUAUAAUGGACAGGAAACGACAAAAUGGAUGGUCGAUGGGGAAAUAAGCCGGCUAAAAUUCCUGACUGACUUGACUAUUUCUUGACACCGACAGGGCGAAAUUUUUAUAAAAACAUCAAAUUACCGUUUUAGUAUUAUUGAUAUUAUAUUAUAUAAUUACCGUGCAAUUUUAUAUUAGGUUUUUCAUUCAAAAUUCUCGAUUAUAGAUUAAUCAUAAAGAAAGAUCUACAUUCCAGAGAAAAUAUGUUGGAAUUCAAAAUAGCUAGAAAAAAAAUAAUAAGGUAAUUGGUAAUUUUCAUUCGAUGAAUGUAUAAACACAAUUUUAAAUAAAUAUCUUUUCAGUUUUCAGUUAUUUUUGUCCUGGAAAUUCGUUGCAGAACUUAUAAAUAGUCAAUUCCAAAAUAUCAUAUUCUUUAUUUUUUUUUUUUAAAUUACAUCAAACUUAGUUUCAAAAAAAUUUGUUUAUCCAGCUCUGAUAAUAUUAUAUACACUAUUUUCCGAGUAAACCUAGGUACCUGGGUAUUAUAGUUAUAAUUAUUUUAAUUCGAUUUAAAAAUGUAUAAAAAAAAUUAAUAAACAAAAAAUAAACAAAUUUUGUACAAUAUGCGAUUUGUCUUUUGCCACGAGAAACGAUUAUAAUAAUAUCCAUGAAGAUUCCGAGUAAAAUUUACUUCGAUUUUUAAUUUAGAAGAAUCGUUUGGCGACUGCAGUUACAAUAUUUUCAAAAUGUUAUCCUUAUUUCCGUAGAUACACGGUAAACACAUAUCAAUUUUGUUUUUUAACAUCCCCUCCCGCAUUUCAUAACAGAUUUGAAAAUUAAAUUUUGCCAUGCACAAUAACAAACUAUAUUUUCAACAGAUAUACUGUGUAUAAUAUAGGUUUACGUUUUAAGACCAAACACAAUUUAGAUCGGAGGAACGGUAUAAUGAAUUGGUUAUCCAUUUUCAGACAAUAACCGUUUUCUAUUUCUCCACUCCGGUCUAAAUUCGAUAAAGAUUGAAAAAGCGAUAGCAAUCAUUCAACAUUUUCGUAGAGAAUUGCUGAAUCCUGUUUAAAAAUAAAAUCACCCUGAAUACUUUUUUGUACCGACCAUCGAAUUUGUUUGUUCUUUUCAAGGAUAUACAUUUAUACAUAAAAAAAAUAUUUGAGCUAUUUGCUUCGAGAGAUAUUUAAAAGUAAAACAAUCAUGAAUAGUUUUAUGUAUCUACUUUAAUGUUAAAAUAAUAAUGACAAUAGUAAUAACACGUUCAAUGGCCAUAGAUUUGUUUUAUAAUAAAUAAAAAUAAGAUUAAUAUUCUACAUAAAGUAUAGCCAUUUGGUUUUUAUUUUUUCUGUCCAUUAAUAACAUUAAAACCAGAAUCAAAAAGCAGAUAUCUAAAAAAAGGUCACUAUUCUGACCCACUCUCGAAUAUUUCCGAUCUAUAUAUGUACCAAACCUAACUAUGCAUAUAUUGUAGAACUUCCUCUCUAUACACAAUAUCCGCAACCGUAAAAUCUACUGCUUAUUUAUGAUAAUAAUUAUAAUAAUCUAGCGAGAGUAUAAUAUGGUAGGUAGGAUAGUAAUAUUAAGUUACAAUCGCGUAAAAUGUGGAUGACGUAUAAUAGUGGUGUACGUAUUUAAAGUGCAUUAAGUAUGUCACGGCAAGUACGAUAAAGUGUCUCGUUACGGCUGCUACAGAUUAAUUUCGACAAGCAACAACAACAAUACGAACGUAUAAAAUCUCUGUCGUCGUGUACUGCUGCAAUGCAAAUUUAAUUAUAUGGAAAAAAAGAUUUUUUAUUAUGCACAGGGUGCGACAACUAUUUUUUUUUUUUUUUUGAUUUCCGCAUUUUCUUCGUUUAAUCAGAAAAAAAAACGAAAACGAAAAAAAACGGAUGGUAUUCCGCUCCAGUGUGUCACGAAUAAAACAUUAAAACGAAAUAUUGUCUCAGCUGGGUGACGAGGGUCAGGGGUCACGAGAACUGGCGAUACGUGUGAAAAUAUUAUGCAGACAUUAAUAUGUAUAACAUGUUUGGAAUAUAUGUACGUCAAAAUAUAAAACGGACUAUUUACAAUAUAAGUAUAAUAAUAUGUAAAACAUAAAAUAACGCAUGCACGGUAGGUAUACAAUAUACAUAUUAUAAUUUUGGAUACAAACUUAGGUAAGUAUAGACAUUUUUAACGAGACAUUAUUGUAGAAUUGUCUGAUUUGUUUGGUAAAGCUUACACUACAAAUUAUAAAAUAUUUGAAUUUGACAUCAUUUUUUCUAAUAGUUUGACGGGUACAGAAUAUAUUAUAUAGGUAAAUAUUAUAAUGUAUAUUACCGAUGAGCGAUGGAAGCGGAGGAAAAUUAGAGAUCAUGGGGGAUAGAGAUAAUUUGGAGAUUGUCAAAAAAUAGAAAACUUCGAUAGGCUGGACGUGCGCGCCAAAGCUAAAGCCCACUACUACGGAUAGUGUCAGAACAGAACCCAACAUGAAAAAGAUCGAAGUUGAGACAGGAAGACGUAUAGGAAAAAAGAAGUUGUAGCCUUGUAAGAACUUUGGGAGAAGAACCGAAUAUUGGAAGAUUUUGGCGAUUAAUGACGAAACGGUACUAGAGACACAAUAGUCCCCUCCCCCUUCCAAAAAAACCAAUUAAACCUAAAUGUUAAAAUAACGCUUUCGUAAGAUGUGUUACGGUUUUUUAAUCAUAUAAUAAUCAAAUAUACGUCUCAUUCAACAUAAUAUUUCACAUAUAAUAGGACAUCAUAAUAAUAACACGAUAAUAUAUUAUUAAACUUUACCGCUCAAACGUAUAGAAAAUCGAAAAGAAAAAUAGUAGAUUGGUAGUUGAUUUUUUUAAUUUCGUAAAUCUUUAGAGACAGAAUAAACACUAAACGAAUAGUUAUGUCAAAUAAAAAACAAAAAGUAUAAAGUAUUUAAUUUUAAGAAAAAAAAGAGAAAAAGUUCUAAACGGAAAUACGUGACAGUUUUACAAUUCAGGUAUCCCGGUUAAAAAAAAAAAAUAGCUUACUGAACUAAAUAAUAUGUAACGAUUUUUGUUAAUUAGUAGUAUGUACAAACGAAACUUAUUUUUAGUUUUUAUAUUUCACAUAUUUUACAUAUUACAAGAUAUAUCGAUGUAAUCAAUACACAAAUUUAUCAAAACUAAGCAAAUUGGAAUUUCAGAAAAACGCAGUUCGGUGGAUUCAGCAUGAUGUACCCGAAAUUGCAAAUAUUAUAAUUUUUAAUAUCAAAUAAGAACAAAAAUGUAUAUUUUCCAAAUAAGUUACUUUAUAGCUAAUAUACAAACGUCUAAUAGCCAAAUAAGAACCUGCAUAGUGUACCUCUUGUUGCGUUAGUCUAACGGUUAAACGUAAUUUCUGUAUAAUUUAAAUUGUAUUUUCUUUUUUUUUAACAAAAAACCAAUAACCUUAACCACCGUAUUUAAGUUAAAAAAAUAAUAUAGAAAUAUUUUUAAACGAACGAAAAACAACGAAAAAUAAGCAACAAAUUAUACAAUAUGUUUCUCCAGUUUCCAGUAGUCUUUUUUUUUUUUUCAAUUCAUAAUCGCAAGAUAUAAAACCGUCUAAAGAUUAAAAAAUUUGAUUUUUUUCACAGUUAUUCAAAAUAUUUGAACCCGAAGUGAUAAAUAUUUGUGUAUGAUAAUAUAAACUGACCAUCAUAAUUUUUGCAUCGAUGUCAAUAGUAAUAUAUUAUCGAUAGGUCAGCAUUUAUUUCGAUUGUGUUAAAUUGCAAUAAUAUUAUUUAACCUCAUCGUCAUAAAGUUUGUCCAAUCAGAGCGAUGAUAAAAUAAUAACAAUAAUACCUACUGAUAACCCGGAAUAAUUGAUGAGUGCACGCGUUUAAAAUGUAGGUAUAUUUCAACAGAGACCGGCCAAAGGGGUGGUGGUGGUGGCGGCGUUUAUGGGUAUUAAGGGUGUAUUUAUUCCACCGAAAUUACUAUUUGCAACGUAUUAGCGAAGAGUAAACAAAAAUUCAAUUCCAGCCGCUUUUCGUCGCACGGAGUUUAAUUUGAUUUUUUAAUAAAACGGCUAGACUGCCGCGUGCGUGUGUUUAUACGUGUAUGUGUGUGUGUGUGUGUGUGUGUGUGUGAGUGCGUAUGCGUGUGUAUAUGUGUGUGCAUGUACGUGUACGUGUGUACGCGUGUCUGUUCGUGUGUGUGUGUGUAUAUAUGUGUGUGCACGUGGAACGUUGACGUCACUCUUAUUGCCGUUUGAAAUUCUACAAAGGGUGCGAACGGGCGGUGGCGGCGGUGCGACACGGGGCGGGCGGCUUUGCCGGGCGAGGAGAGGCGUCGGUAGCGAGGUGUCGCCAGGGGACAGUCGAUAAAAUGCGGCGAUAACGGUGCGGGUCACGCAAUCCGAGUGUGAACUCCUCUUUGAUUAUACUUUUUGCCCCCCCUCCUGCAGCGGUAUAUACAUGUUUUACUGCGACGUUAUACCAUUUCCCUACGCGCGCGCGCUCACACACACACACACACACACACACAUACAUACGAAUACGGAAAAACACACAAACGAACGGACACACUGCCGCCCCCGAGCAUAAAUCUCGCUAUUCAAUUUAAAGACUUCGUUGUAUUAAUGUAAUGAAGACCGUGAAAGAAGAAGAAAAAAAAAAAAUACACCGAACAUACCGAAUGGACUGCACGUGUGCGUGCGUGUGUAUACGGGCGAUUCGGCUACACCGGUCGAAAUUCGCGAUUGGCUUUAUGGCGGCGGCGGCGACGGACUGUGUUACGCGAGCGACGCGCGGCUGCAAGAAGGACCGGAGAUCGUUCGUCGAACUGCGCGAAAUUAACAUCGCGAUAGGUCAAUAUAUUAUCGCGGGGGCGCAGGUGAAACGCGGGGAAAUAAUUAGUGCCCGGGCCCACGGGCGCCCGGGAAGGGGGCUGGGCAAAAGGGGGGAGGGAAGGUCUGCCGCUUCAGAAUUUCAAACAUAGUUUUAACGAUUAAUCGAUAUUGUUUUAUUUUACGUAUAUUUUGGUGUUCGGUUUCGCCGUGCCCGUCCCUAAUAAAUUUCCCGCGGGCGCAUUUAACGGCCGAGCCGAGAUUAACAUCGGCCGACAUCGGUACUGUAUUGCGGGUAUUGGGCACUUUUUUUUCUCGAACCCAUAGACAAAACCGAUACGUAAUGAUUGGCGGUUAUAUAUAACGGACACUUUAAUGCCGAGGUGUAUUUAUAUGGAGGCCGUGCGAUAAAUAGCUGUUACGUUUAUUCGGACUAUUGCAGUAUUUUGAUUUGUCAAUGGUAUUAUCGAUUGUCCUUGCAUAAAUCGAAUGAGAUGUUUUGACAGAUGUAACAUAAUGAUUUUUAUCAGUUUUUGGAAAAGUAUAUGGGUUUUUUUUUUUUGUUUUUUUUUUCAUAUAUAUUCGUGGGUCCGAGGAAAUAUAAUGUCGGUUAUCGGAUAUCGGAAAAAAAUUGAUAACAGCUCAGAAAAUAACGCACAAGUAUGUAAUAAUCGGGAAAAUAAUAAUAAUAUUAUCGGUUUUUAAAAAUAUUUUCGUUGCUUCGUAAAGCGGACGUUUUCACAUCGUACUUUUUCCCCGGGUAACCUGUCCGAAGUGGUUCUACACGGCAAAUCGGUGAUUAUUUUCGAUUAAAAGUCCGGCCCGAGUGCGUGAUCGAGUUGGAGAGAGAAGCGAGCCACGUGUUAAGACUGGGAACCGUUGGUCCCAUGCUAUGCAAAUAAAAUUUCCGAAUAUUAUUUUCCGGAUUUUAUACCGCCCCCCCCCCCCCUCGCCACCAAUUAUUAUUACGUCGAAAGACAUCUGAACACCUACGUAGAAAUAAUAUAUUAUACAGUGUACAAUUGAAAUAUUUAAAUAGUGAUUCCAUUUAAUUAUCGUCUCAACAUCCGCGAAAUGCGAAUCAAAUAAUUAUUAUGCGUUCGAAAUAGCAUUUUUAUUUUUGAAAUGAUAACAACAAUAAUUACGCGUUAUUACGCGAAUCCCGUCGCGUCAUCUGCCCCGCUAUUAUAAUAUCAUUAUGCAUCUCAAGACAAAAAAAAAAUAAUAAUAAUAAUAAACGGUACGCUGCUUAAAAUUAUGAUAAUAUUGUUUUUAAACGAUAUUACAUUUUUUUUUUUUUUUUUUUUUUUUUUUUUUUAGAUUCCGAGUGUAGCGAAUAAGAAACAAUUCGUCUUACUGAGAUGUGCUUUUUUUCUCGGAAAACUCUUUUUCGGUUCGUAAAAUAUGCUACGGUUUCUUCAUAGUAUACCCCAAACGAAUCAAAAUUCCGGCUCGGUAGUACUUUAUUCGAAACAAAUGUUUGGGUUGUCAACAAUUUUACAAAAAAUUUUAAAAAUCUGACGACAAUAAACGGUGAUUUUAUUUUUGUUUAUAAAACCGGAUUAUCAUGGCUAUAUACACGGGCAAAAAGUCACGGCUAUUACUAUAACGUCACUGUUUUACAGAGUUCCGGUUAGAAUUUUUUUUUUAAUUGCGAUUGUUAAUCGUUGCUUACAGUAUGGUUUAUAUAUAGAGCGUAAGUUGGAGUAUACACCCUGUAUCGUAUACCUUCCAAAAAGUGAAACACGAUUGCAUACGACAUUAUCUGAUUUUUGAUUGCAAUAGGGCACCCAGAAGGAGGGCUUUGGCACUAAAACCCUACCUAUUUUUUUUUUUUUUAUAAGCUUACACAUUAUUCUGGAAUAUGGAUUCGUU